This 465-nucleotide ribosomal RNA is filed under the name Vreelandella stevensii. RNAcentral describes it as "partial 16S ribosomal RNA". It matches the Rfam family "Bacterial small subunit ribosomal RNA", at positions 338 to 795 of the family's 1533-position model. The record is from RNAcentral. Lineage: Bacteria; Pseudomonadati; Pseudomonadota; Gammaproteobacteria; Oceanospirillales; Halomonadaceae.
CCUACGGGGGGCAGCAGUGGGGAAUAUUGGACAAUGGGGGCAACCCUGAUCCAGCCAUGCCGCGUGUGUGAAGAAGGCCCUCGGGUUGUAAAGCACUUUCAGUGAGGAAGAACGCCUGGUGGUUAAUACCCAUCAGGAAAGACAUCACUCACAGAAGAAGCACCGGCUAACUCCGUGCCAGCAGCCGCGGUAAUACGGAGGGUGCGAGCGUUAAUCGGAAUUACUGGGCGUAAAGCGCGCGUAGGUGGCUUGAUAAGCCGGUUGUGAAAGCCCCGGGCUCAACCUGGGAACGGCAUCCGGAACUGUCAAGCUAGAGUGCAGGAGAGGAAGGUAGAAUUCCCGGUGUAGCGGUGAAAUGCGUAGAGAUCGGGAGGAAUACCAGUGGCGAAGGCGGCCUUUUGGACUGACACUGACACUGAGGUGCGAAAGCGUGGGUAGCAAACAGGAUUAGAUACCCCAGUAGUC